This 2123-nucleotide long non-coding RNA is filed under the name Homo sapiens (human). Its description in RNAcentral is "HSALNT0369863". The record is from RNAcentral. Lineage: Eukaryota; Metazoa; Chordata; Mammalia; Primates; Hominidae.
CAGCGCUGUUGUUUUGUUCCAACUGACAAAACAGCUAAGAAACAGCAGAACAUGACUGCCCUUUGCAAAAUGGGCCAUGUGAUCCUCCUAGCUCAAUUCAACACUUACAGUAAAAACGAAUAGAAAGGGACCUGUUUAUGAAACUCUCCUGCUUGCCUUUGGAAUACUCUCAUCCUCUCCCUUCUCAGCCUCCUAAAUACCCAAGUGAAUUUAUAUAAUGAGCUUUAUUUUAUCACCCUGAAAUUCUUCCUCAGUCCAAAUUGCUAAUGUGGCAGGUUCCAGCUGCCCAAAUUCCCUAAACAACAUUGCCUGUUCCAUAAAAAGCAUGCAAUUACAAGCACAGCAGUCCUGCUCUGGUUCUUAGAACUAUAAACUGACUACACAGCUCCCUGGCCCGGGAAGGCUAUGAAACAGGCAACAUGGACAAUUUAAAGGUGUACAACAUCCGAGGUUCCAUUUCACCCUCAGGCAGCACGGAGUGGACAAGAGAUGGGGUCUCACUUUGUCACCCAGGCUGGGCUCAAACUCUUGGCUUCAAGCGAUCUUCUCGCCUUGGUCUCCCAAAGUGCUGGGAUUACAGGCUUGAACUACUGUACUCGACUGACUUUUCCUAUUUCUAAUGUCAGCAUGAAGAACACAAGAAGUCAGCUUCAAAGAUAAUGAAAAAUAAAACCAAGAUUCUCUUCUUUGCUGAUGAAGUCAGGAAGGUGGAAAGGGCAAAGCAAGAACUCUCACUCUUACCCUAUGAGUAAUUUCAAUAGAAAUCAAAGGCGUUAACUUCUCGGGUCCUCAAUUUUUUCUUCUCUAAAAAGAAAGAAUUGUUUAAUAAAACUCAUCCAAGGCUACAAUCAUCAAUGGCAGCUAAAACCACUUAGUGAAAGAAUUUUUUUUUUAAUAAAAAAAGGACAUUGGAUGAUGUCUCAACUCCCAAGCACUUGAUGUUUGACUUGGGAGUGGUGCCCUCAGUCACACCUAAAACUAUCUGCGGCAGACCCUGUUCUUUUUGGCUGACACAAAUGCCAUUCCCAACCUCCUUCUCCUCCUGUCUUGUCUCAAUCGUAGAGUCUAGAAGAGCAAACAUUCACUUUGCAGCCUCCCUUGUACCAAGGAGUGGCCAUGAGACAAUUCUGCCCAAUGAAUCAGAAGAGGAAUUGUGUUGAGGAUUUCUGGAAAGACUACUUCUUUUCCCAAGAAAAAGUGACAGACGCAGUAGGGGCUGAGCAACUUCCGUGCCUCUUCCAGCCUUACGGAUGUGCUGUUGGUAGCUGUGACUGCCUUGCUACUACGAGGAAAAGGAAGGCCAAGAGAAUAGCAGAGACACUCGCUCUGAUGCCUUUGAGCCAAUGAAUCAAUGCCAGAAGCAGCUGACCUCCAGAGUUCUUGUUACAGGAUUAAAAUAAAUCUCUACUUAUUUGCCAUUGUCACUUUGGUUUGUUUGUUUGUUUACUUGUUGCCAAGCACAUUCCUAACUGAUACACUGUUCACCAGAUUCCCUGGGAUUAGACAAUCAAACAUCUUUCUGUAACCAAGAAUGCAAAAGCUCCUCAACUGGAAAAUACUCAUGUGAAAGUUUAAAGGAAAAGCACAGGGAGUGAAAUAAAAUGCUUUCUUCUCCUGCCCACGGAAUCCAUUUAUUUCAUGUAGCUGUAAAAUCAGCCCUUUGCCCAAUUUCAUCAAGUCACAAAUUCUCAGGAUUGGAAAGGCAUUACUUUUAACCACCUGAUCUCCCUCUAAACAACCUCAUUAAGCAGCUAUUUAGCCUCUUCUUGAAUUAUGUAUAGUGACAAGGAAUUCAUUAUCUCUAGAAGGAGCCUAUAUUUUCUUUGGACAACUAUUUUAGAAGGGUCUAUCUUACAUUAACUUGCUUUUUCUAUGUCUUCGUUCGACCUUUUGAGAAACACAGAACAGAAAGAAUCUCUUUUACGAAUGAGAGCCAUCCAAAGAGCUGAAGGCAGCUGUCAUAUCACCUCAUCUGCACAGUGAUAUCCACCAGUUCCUUCCACCUUUCCUCCUGAGAGAGGUGUCAAGUUCUAAUGAAUGCCAGUCACAUAUAUAAUUUUAAAUUGUCUAGUAGCCACGUUUUAAAAAGGAAAAGCCAGAUGAAAUUAAUUUUAAUAUAUUUU